Pelobates cultripes (western spadefoot toad) is the source of this 284-nucleotide non-coding RNA. The record is from the annotation of a GenBank genome assembly. Lineage: Eukaryota; Metazoa; Chordata; Amphibia; Anura; Pelobatidae.
CUAAUCUGCAAUCCUGGCAGCCCAUCAGUAUUUUAGAAUUUUGUAAAUUCUGGGUCCCGUCUUUAAAGGACCACUAUAGUGCCAGGAAAACAAACUUGUUUUCCUGGCAUUAUAGUGUUAAAAGGUCCCCCCCUGCCGGGCUGUAAGGGGAGGAAGGGGUUAAAGGCUUACCUUUCUCCAGCGCCGGGCUCCCUCAGUGCUGGGAACUCUCCUCCCUCUUCCACCGAAUGCGCAUGCGCGGCAAGAACCGCACGCUCAUUCAGUCAGUCCAUAGGAAAGCAUUC